RNAcentral lists this ribosomal RNA (637 nucleotides) under uncultured bacterium. Its description in RNAcentral is "bacterial SSU rRNA". It matches the Rfam family "Bacterial small subunit ribosomal RNA", at positions 232 to 878 of the family's 1533-position model. The record is from RNAcentral.
CGCGGCCUAUCAGCUUGUUGGUGAGGUAAUGGCUCACCAAGGCUUCGACGGGUAGCCGGCCUGAGAGGGCGACCGGCCACAUUGGGACUGAGAUACGGCCCAAACUCCUACGGGAGGCAGCAGUGGGGAAUAUUGCACAAUGGGCGAAAGCCUGAUGCAGCAACGCCGCGUGCGGGAUGACGGCCUUCGGGUUGUAAACCGCUUUCACUCAUGGCGAAGCUUUUUGUGACGGUAGUGGGAGAAGAAGCACCGGCUAACUACGUGCCAGCAGCCGCGGUGAUACGUAGGGUGCGAGCGUUGUCCGGAUUUAUUGGGCGUAAAGAGCUUGUAGGCGGUUUGUCACGUCGGGAGUGAAAACUCAGGGCUUAACCCUGAGCCUGCUUCCGAUACGGGCAGACUUGAGGAAGGUAGGGGAGAAUGGAAUUCCUGGUGGAGCGGUGGAAUGCGCAGAUAUCAGGAGGAACACCAGUGGCGAAGGCGGUUCUCUGGACCUUUCCUGACGCUGAGAAGCGAAAGCGUGGGGAGCAAACAGGCUUAGAUACCCUGGUAGUCCACGCCGUAAACGGUGGGUACUAGGUGUGGGGGACAUUCCACGUUCUCCGUGCCGCAGCUAACGCAUUAAGUACCCCGCCUGGGG